This 480-nucleotide ribosomal RNA is filed under the name uncultured bacterium. Its description in RNAcentral is "bacterial SSU rRNA". It matches the Rfam family "Bacterial small subunit ribosomal RNA", at positions 28 to 526 of the family's 1533-position model. The record is from RNAcentral.
GACGAACGCUGGCGGCGUGCUUAACACAUGCAAGUCGAACGGUGAACCCCUUCGGGGGGGAUCAGUGGCGAACGGGUGAGUAACACGUGAGCAACCUGCCCCUGACUCUGGGAUAACUACCGGAAACGGUGGCUAAUACCGGAUAUGACGCUCUCAUGCAUGUGGGGGUGUGGAAAGUUUUUCGGUUGGGGAUGGGCUCGCGGCCUAUCAGCUUGUUGGUGGGGUGAUGGCCUACCAAGGCGACGACGGGUAGCCGGCCUGAGAGGGCGACCGGCCACACUGGGACUGAGACACGGCCCAGACUCCUACGGGAGGCAGCAGUGGGGAAUAUUGCGCAAUGGGCGAAAGCCUGACGCAGCGACGCCGCGUGAGGGAUGAAGGCCUUCGGGUUGUAAACCUCUUUCAGCGCCGAAGAAGCGAAAGUGACGGUAGGCGCAGAAGAAGCACCGGCUAACUACGUGCCAGCAGCCGCGGUAACAC